UUAAUCCGCUGAAAGAUAAAUCUGUUUAAGAUUAGGUUGUUGGUAAUUUAAAAGCUUACCAAGCCGAUGAUCUUUAGUUGGUCUGAGAGGGUGAUCAACCACACUGGAACUGAAAUAAGGUCCAGGCUAAUACGUUGGCCAGCAGUGGGGGAUAUUGGACAAUGAACGAAAGUUUGAUCCAGCAAUACUAACUGGGUGAUGACGGCUUAUUGAAGUUGUAAGAUCCUUUAAUUAAAGAAGAUAAUGACAUUAUUUAAUUGAAUUAGUCCUGGCUAAUACUCGUGCCAGCAGCCGCGGUAAUACGGGAAGGGCAAGCGUUAUCCGGCAUGACUGGGCGUAAAGAGUCCGUAGACUGUAAAAUAAGUUUUUUGUUAAAUUUUAAGACCUAAUCUUAACAUAGCAACUAAUACUAUUUUACUAUGAGUCUAAUACAGAAAAGUAGAAUUUUAUACGAUAGAGGUGAAAUUUGCAGAUAUAUAAAGGAAUGCCAAAAGCGAAGGCAACUUUUUGGUAUAGACCGACGUUGAGGGACGAAAGCGUGGGUAGCAAACGGGAUUAGAGACCCCGGUAGUCCACGCCGUAAAUUCUGAGUGCU
This 595-nucleotide ribosomal RNA is filed under the name uncultured organism. RNAcentral's name for it is "bacterial SSU rRNA". It matches the Rfam family "Bacterial small subunit ribosomal RNA", at positions 210 to 817 of the family's 1533-position model. The record is from RNAcentral.